RNAcentral lists this long non-coding RNA (1064 nucleotides) under Homo sapiens (human). RNAcentral describes it as "long non-coding RNA NONHSAT163312.1". Lineage: Eukaryota; Metazoa; Chordata; Mammalia; Primates; Hominidae. The record is from RNAcentral.
GUGACUCCAGAGCCUCCAGCGAGAUGCUGCUGAUUCUGCUGUCAGUGGCCCUGCUGGCCCUGAGCUCAGCUGAGAGUUCAAGUGAAGAUGUCAGCCAGGAAGAAUCUCUCUUCCUAAUAUCAGGAAAGCCAGAAGGACGACGCCCACAAGGAGGAAACCAGCCCCAACGUCCCCCACCUCCUCCAGGAAAGCCACAAGGACCACCCCCACAAGGAGGAAACCAGUCCCAAGGUCCCCCACCUCCUCCAGGAAAGCCAGAAGGACGACCCCCACAAGGAGGCAACCAGUCCCAAGGUCCCCCACCUCAUCCAGGAAAGCCAGAAAGACCACCCCCACAAGGAGGAAACCAGUCCCAAGGUACCCCACCUCCUCCAGGAAAGCCAGAAAGACCACCCCCACAAGGAGGCAACCAGUCCCACCGUCCCCCACCUCCUCCAGGAAAGCCAGAAAGACCACCCCCACAAGGAGGUAACCAGUCCCAAGGUCCCCCACCUCAUCCAGGAAAGCCAGAAGGACCACCCCCACAGGAAGGAAACAAGUCCCGAAGUGCCCGAUCUCCUCCAGGAAAGCCACAAGGACCACCCCAACAAGAAGCCCCAACGUACCCCACCUCCUCCAGGAAAGCCAGAAGGACGACCCCCACAAGGAGGCAACCAGUCCCAAGGUCCCCCACCUCGUCCAGGAAAGCCAGAAGGACCACCCCCACAAGGAGGAAACCAGUCCCAAGGUCCCCCACCUCGUCCGGGAAAGCCAGAAGGACAACCCCCACAAGGAGGAAACCAGUCCCAAGGUCCCCCACCUCGAAGGCCACAAGGACCACCCCCACCAGGAGGCAAUCCCCAGCAGCCUCUGCCACCUCCCGCUGGAAAGCCCCAGGGACCACCUCCACCUCCUCAAGGGGGCAGACCACACAGACCUCCCCAGGGACAGCCUCCCCAGUAAUCAAGGUUCAAUGACAGGAAGUGAACAAGAAGAUGACAGUGAUUCAAAUGAUUCAAAUGCCAUGACAUUGGAAGAAGGUGGUCAUAGCUCUACCUUUAAUAUACCAAUAAAAUAAACAGCUU